This 722-nucleotide ribosomal RNA is filed under the name uncultured Fusobacterium sp. Its description in RNAcentral is "bacterial SSU rRNA". It matches the Rfam family "Bacterial small subunit ribosomal RNA", at positions 28 to 776 of the family's 1533-position model. The record is from RNAcentral. Lineage: Bacteria; Fusobacteriati; Fusobacteriota; Fusobacteriia; Fusobacteriales; Fusobacteriaceae.
GAUGAACGCUGACAGAAUGCUUAACACAUGCAAGUCAACUUGAACUUCGGUUUGGGUGGCGGACGGGUGAGUAACGCGUAAAGAACUUGCCUCACAGAUAGGGACAACAUUUGGAAACGAAUGCUAAUACCUGAUAUUAUGAUUAUAUGGCAUCGUAUAAUUAUGAAAGCUAUAUGCGCUGUGAGAGAGCUUUGCGUCCCAUUAGCUAGUUGGAGAGGUAACGGCUCACCAAGGCGAUGAUGGGUAGCCGGCCUGAGAGGGUGAUCGGCCACAAGGGGACUGAGACACGGCCCUUACUCCUACGGGAGGCAGCAGUGGGGAAUAUUGGACAAUGGACCAAGAGUCUGAUCCAGCAAUUCUGUGUGCACGAUGAAGUUUUUCGGAAUGUAAAGUGCUUUCAGUUGGGAAGAAAAAAAUGACGGUACCAACAGAAGAAGUGACGGCUAAAUACGUGCCAGCAGCCGCGGUAAUACGUAUGUCACAAGCGUUAUCCGGAUUUAUUGGGCGUAAAGCGCGUCUAGGUGGUUAUGUAAGUCUGAUGUGAAAAUGCAGGGCUCAACUCUGUAUUGCGUUGGAAACUGUGUAACUAGAGUACUGGAGAGGUAAGCGGGAACUACAAGUGUAGAGGUGAAAUUCGUAGAUAUUUGUAGGAAUGCCGAUGGGGAAGCCAGCUUACUGGACAGAUACUGACGCUGAAGCGCGAAAGCGUGGUAGCAAACAGG